UCAUCGGUCGUCUAAUGGCAGGACACGGCACUUUGACUGCCGCAAUCUAGGUUCGACCCCUAGCCGGUGAU
RNAcentral lists this transfer RNA (71 nucleotides) under Novosphingobium sp. GV027. RNAcentral's name for it is "tRNA-Gln". It matches the Rfam family "tRNA". Rfam says of the family: Transfer RNA (tRNA) molecules are approximately 80 nucleotides in length. RNAcentral also lists the same sequence under 3 other names. The record is from RNAcentral. Lineage: Bacteria; Pseudomonadati; Pseudomonadota; Alphaproteobacteria; Sphingomonadales; Sphingomonadaceae.